GUGGUGACUCAGUGGUAGAGCGCUUGCCUAGCAUGUGUGAGGCACUGGGUUCGAUUCUCAGCACCACA
RNAcentral lists this transfer RNA (68 nucleotides) under Marmota monax (woodchuck). RNAcentral's name for it is "tRNA.Ala". The record is from RNAcentral. Lineage: Eukaryota; Metazoa; Chordata; Mammalia; Rodentia; Sciuridae.